GAUGAACGCUGGCGGCGUGCCUAAUACAUGCAAGUCGAGCGAACGGACGAGAAGCUUGCUUCUCUGAUGUUAGCGGCGGACGGGUGAGUAACACGUGGAUAACCUACCUAUAAGACUGGGAUAACUUCGGGAAACCGUAGCUAAUACCGGCUAAUAUUUUGAACCGCAUGGUUCAAAAGUGAAAGACGGUCUUGCUGUCACUUAUAGAUGGAUCCGCGCUGCAUUAGCUAGUUGGUAAGGUAACGGCCUACCAAGGCAACGAUGCAUAGCCGACCUGAGAGGGUGAGGGGCCACACUGGAACUGAGACACGGUACAGACUCCUACGGGAGGCAGCAGUGGGGAAUCUUCGACAAUGGGCGAAAGCCUGAGGGACCAACCCCGCGGGAGUGAAGAAGGCCUUCGGAUUGUAAAGCUCUUUUGUUGGGAAAGAAAAGAGGUGUAAGAACCUGCGCCCGUCUUGACGGUACCAAAACAGAAAGCACCGGCUAACUCCGUG
This 497-nucleotide ribosomal RNA is filed under the name uncultured bacterium. RNAcentral describes it as "partial 16S ribosomal RNA". It matches the Rfam family "Bacterial small subunit ribosomal RNA", at positions 28 to 507 of the family's 1533-position model. The record is from RNAcentral.